UACAGAGGGUGCAAGCGUUAAUCGGAAUUACUGGGCGUAAAGCGCAUGUAGGUUGUUUGAUAAGUUGGGUGUGAAAGCCCCGGGCUUAACCUGGGAAUGGCAUUUGGGACUGCAAGGCUUGAGUGCGGCAGAGGAGACUGGAAUUCCUGGUGUAGCAGUGAAAUGCGUAGAUAUCAGGAGGAAUACCGAUGGCGAAGGCAGGUCUCUGGGCUGACACUGACGCUCAUGCACGAAAGCGUGGGGAGCAAACAGG
Molecule: ribosomal RNA, 253 nt
Filed under: uncultured bacterium
Lineage: Bacteria
Description: partial 16S ribosomal RNA
Rfam family: Bacterial small subunit ribosomal RNA
Source: RNAcentral